This 152-nucleotide non-coding RNA is filed under the name Candidatus Merdisoma merdipullorum. Lineage: Bacteria; Bacillati; Bacillota; Clostridia; Lachnospirales; Lachnospiraceae. The record is from RNAcentral.
UUCCGAAAGGAUUAAUAGAGAAACCGGUGAAAGUCCGGUACGAUCCCGUCACUGUGAAAGGGAGUCUCAGAACAAAGUUAUGUCACUGGGUGAAAGCCUGGGAAGGCGCUUUGAGAUGUUGAACUUAAGUCAGGAGAACUGCUUGUGAUGGA